RNAcentral lists this small nucleolar RNA (150 nucleotides) under Oryza meridionalis. RNAcentral's name for it is "snoRNA snoR134". It matches the Rfam family "small nucleolar RNA snoR134". The record is from Rfam by way of RNAcentral. Lineage: Eukaryota; Viridiplantae; Streptophyta; Magnoliopsida; Poales; Poaceae.
AUGCACAAUGCUAACCCCGGGCUUGUCGGACUAGAAUCCUUUGAAGAAUGAAGCCCCAAUGACUGUGCUAGAUCCACCAUGCCAUUCAGUGUUGCAGGUCAUGAUGCUUCGAGCUCGUGAUUGGUCUGUGUCAGCGUAAUGGAUACAUUC